RNAcentral lists this long non-coding RNA (360 nucleotides) under Sus scrofa (pig). RNAcentral's name for it is "lncRNA (ENSSSCG00025001709.1, ENSSSCG00055013330.1)". Lineage: Eukaryota; Metazoa; Chordata; Mammalia; Artiodactyla; Suidae. The record is from RNAcentral.
GUUCCAGCUAGGAAUACAGACUUUCUUUACCUUGCCUACCUCCUCAGUGUGUGUUCUUUCCUCAGGGACCUCACAGAGAAGAGUAGCUGACCAGUGGCAGAACUCCAGUGUUUCUGGGUCUCAUGACCGAAUCCUAUCUAAAUAUCGCACCACUGAGUCUUUACAGUUAAUCAAGUCUUAAGAGUUGGAAGCAGUGGUCGGUGAAAAAAAGGCAAAGGUAUUUCAGAUAUUGAUUAUAGCCAUCAAUCAAAGGACACCCUCUCAUAUGCUUCCAAAAGCUCAAGUAAGCAAGGAUUUUUCUGUAUUAAUAAUUUGAGCAUCCCCAUUAGGUCAGUUCCUAAUUCAGUAUACAGGGGCAUC